Non-coding RNA from Caenorhabditis elegans, 208 nucleotides. The record is from Ensembl. NCBI's taxonomy places the organism in Eukaryota, Metazoa, Nematoda, Chromadorea, Rhabditida, Rhabditidae.
AAAGGGACGGGGUGCUCCGUGAGAGCUGAGAAGAUGGAGACCUCAGUGUCCGGCAAAGAACUCACUGGGGAAUGCCCCCUUCACAAAUUCAAUGAGAAAAUGGGAGGGUAGGAAGAAAGGAGAGGAAAAGUUUGGUUGCCAAAGACAAGUGGAAGAUGGUUGUUGGCCAAAGAGUACUGGUGAUUGGGUGGGGCAAAUAAGGCAAAAG